ACGCGUUUACUUGGACAGGCGGUGGGUACCCUGGCACAACAGGACCCGGCUGCACUGGAGGAGGAGAAGGCUUCACUGGCUCAGCCGGUGGCGGUGCAGGUUUUGGCGGUUUCACUGGCUCCGCUGGUGGCGGUGCAGGUUUAGGAUUUUCAGGUUCCUUGGGUUUAUCUGCCGGUUUAGGUUUUUCAGGCUCUUUGGGUUUCUCUGCCGGUUUAGGUUUUUCAGGCUCUUUGGGUUUCUCAGUCGUCGGUUUAGGUUUUUCGGGCACUUUGGGUUUCUCUGCCGGUUUAGGUUUUUCGGGCUCUUUGGGUUUCUCGGCCGGUGGUGGCUUGGGCUUCUCUGGCUCUUUGAUCUCAAUGCUUUUUAUGGCACCUCCACCUUUGCAGCAAAUCUUGUCCCUUAUCUUUUCUGGACUACAGCAUACCACUUUGAUCACCACUUG
This 442-nucleotide long non-coding RNA is filed under the name Malus domestica (apple). RNAcentral describes it as "long non-coding RNA (MDOM_LNC005430)". Lineage: Eukaryota; Viridiplantae; Streptophyta; Magnoliopsida; Rosales; Rosaceae. The record is from RNAcentral.